This 291-nucleotide unclassified non-coding RNA is filed under the name uncultured Helotiales. RNAcentral's name for it is "sequence contains ITS1". The stretch from base 1 to 105 matches the Rfam family "5.8S ribosomal RNA", at positions 50 to 154 of the family's 154-position model. The record is from RNAcentral. Lineage: Eukaryota; Fungi; Ascomycota; Leotiomycetes; Helotiales.
GAAAUGCGAUAAGUAAUGUGAAUUGCAGAAUUCAGUGAAUCAUCGAAUCUUUGAACGCACAUUGCGCCUGGUGGUAUUCCGCCAGGCAUGCCUGUUCGAGCGUCAUUAUAACCACUCAAGCCUGGCUUGGUGUUGGGGUUCGCGGUCCCGCGGCUCCUAAAAUCAGUGGCGGUGCCGGUGGGCUCUAAGCGUAGUAAAUCUCCUCGCUAUAGGGUCCCUCCGGUUGCCUGCCAGAACCCCCCAUUUUAUCAGGUUGACCUCGGAUCAGGUAGGGAUACCCGCUGAACUUAA